RNAcentral lists this ribosomal RNA (251 nucleotides) under uncultured bacterium. RNAcentral's name for it is "partial 16S ribosomal RNA". It matches the Rfam family "Bacterial small subunit ribosomal RNA", at positions 525 to 775 of the family's 1533-position model. The record is from RNAcentral.
ACGUAGGUCACGAGCGUUGUCCGGAAUUACUGGGUGUAAAGGGAGCGCAGGCGGGAAGACAAGUUGGAAGUGAAAUCUAUGGGCUCAACCCAUAAACUGCUUUCAAAACUGUUUUUCUUGAGUAGUGCAGAGGUAGGCGGAAUUCCCGGUGUAGCGGUGGAAUGCGUAGAUAUCGGGAGGAACACCAGUGGCGAAGGCGGCCUACUGGGCACCAACUGACGCUGAGGCUCGAAAGUGUGGGUAGCAAACAG